GAGAAGCAGGAGAGGACCCGGGGAGCUCAACCAGCAGCUCUGCCGGGUUCCUCUCGUGAGGUAAGAGCGUUGCCACGGCAACACUCAGAUCUCGCGAGAGUGAACUCUAGCCCCAAAGGCUAAAGUUCACUCUCCACUGGACCACCAGGGAUGGCAGCAGCACGAUCCCCCCUCCCUACAUAAGGUAAUAAAGGAGGGGGGAUAUUAAGUACUGUAUCCCCACCUCCACCCCCCCACAAUCACCCACACACACAGCACCUACACACAUACAGCACACACACAGCACCUACACAUACAGCACCCACACACACACACACAGCACCCACACACAUACACAGCACACACAUACACACAGCACACACACAGCACCCCCACACACACACAGCACCCCCACACACACACAGCACCCUCAAACCCACAGCACCCUCAAACACACACAGCACCCUCACAUACACAGCACACUAACAGGACCCUAACAAACACACACACACAGCACCCUCACACACACAUCACACUAACAGCACCCUCACACACACCCUCAAACCACCCUCACACAGCACACACACACACAGCAGUGUGUGUGUAUAUAUAUACACACACACACAUACAUAUACAUGCGGCGUGUGUUUGUGCUUUAGGGUGCACACCCUAAUGCAAUAGGCUGCGCACGCCUAUGACUACUCUUGGUAUUUUUGCAGAUAUUUGUCAUUUCAGCUCUGAACCAUUGUAUGUUUAAACAUUAAAUAUAACCUUUCUCUCCUUUGUUAGAUAUUGAUCACCCCUGCUGCUACUCAAAACACUUGCACAACUGGGAGUUUGGUUCACAUGCACUUAAGAAGAUCAUCAAAGAACUCUGGCGGAUGAUCGCCAGCCUGAGAAAAGAUUGGAUCCUCAUUAAAAAAAUAUAUAUAAAAAGUAAAAUAAAAAUAAUGCUCUGAUCUAUUGAUCAGCCACAACAUUAACAGCCACAACAUUAAAACCACCUGCCUAAUAUCAUGAAGGUCACCCUUGUGCUGCCAAAACAGCGCUGAUGCGUCGAGGCAUGGACUCUACAAUGUGUCCUGUGAUAUCUGGCACCAACAUUAGCAGCAGAUCUUUUAAGUCCUGCAGGUUGUGAGGUGGGGCCAAAAUGGAUUGGAUUUCAGCACACCACACAGAUCCUCAAUUGGAUUGAGAUCUGAGGAAUUUGGAGGGCAAAGGCAACACCUUGAACAUUCUGUCAUGUUCCUCAAACCAUUCCUGAACAAUUUUUGCAGUGUGGCACGAUGCAUUAUCCUGUUGAAAGAGACCACUGCCAUCAGGGAACACGAUUGUAUCCCAGCAGAACAUUGCCCAUUGCAUAGCACUGCUUCCACUGGCCUGUUUUCUGCCCAUUAGUACAUACUGCUGCCAUCUUUUCCCCAGGAUAAUGACACACACGCACUUAGCCAUCCACCUGAUCUAAAAGAAAACAGGAUUCAUCAGACCAUGCAACCUUCUACCAUGGCUCCAUGGUCCAACUGUGAAGCUCAUGUCCCCAUUGAAAGUGCUUUCGGUGGUAGACAAGGAUCAUCAUGGGCACCCUGACUGAUCUCUGGCUACGCAGCAAACGGCGACGGUGUGUUCUCACACCUUUGUAUCAUGGCCAGCAUUACGUUUUUCAGUCAUUUGAGCUACAGUAGCUCUUCUGUGUGAUUGCACCAGACGGGCUAGCCUUCACUCCCCACAUGUAUCAAUGAGCCUCGGGUUCCCAUAACCCUGACAUUGGUUUACUGGUUGCCCUUACUUGCAUCACUUUUGGUAGGUACGAACUACUGCAUACCAUGAACACUUCACAAGACUUGUCUUUUCGAGAUGCCCUGUCAAAGUAAUCUAGCCAUCACUAUUUGACCCUUGUCAAAGUCACACAGAUCUUUUCGCUUGCCCAUUUUGUUCUGCUUCCAUCAUAUGAAAUAGAACAACUUGCUACCUAAUAUAUCCCACCCCUUGGCAGGUGCCAUUGUAAUGAUAUAAUCACUGUGAUUCACUUCACCUGUCAGUGGUUUUAAUGUUGUUGCUGAUCAGUGUAAAUGGUCACCUAUGAACAUGGCCUGGAGUCUUAUAAGUUUAUUUAGAUGCGUUAUGGA
RNAcentral lists this long non-coding RNA (2105 nucleotides) under Pelobates cultripes (western spadefoot toad). Lineage: Eukaryota; Metazoa; Chordata; Amphibia; Anura; Pelobatidae. The record is from RNAcentral.